RNAcentral lists this non-coding RNA (29 nucleotides) under Drosophila melanogaster (fruit fly). Lineage: Eukaryota; Metazoa; Arthropoda; Insecta; Diptera; Drosophilidae. The record is from RNAcentral. RNAcentral also lists the same sequence under 2 other names.
ACUCUUAAUCUCAGGGUCGUGGGUUCGAG